This 3531-nucleotide long non-coding RNA is filed under the name Daucus carota (carrot). RNAcentral describes it as "long non-coding RNA (DCAR_LNC000875)". The record is from RNAcentral. Lineage: Eukaryota; Viridiplantae; Streptophyta; Magnoliopsida; Apiales; Apiaceae.
CAGUCCCAGAGUAUAAACCUGCAGAGGCACUGGCAUUCUAUAGCCGUUGGCUUGCCGGGGAAAAGAUAUGAGAUCGAGAACCAUGAUGUUCCACUGAGCGUUCAAAAUAAGGAUAUAACUCCCUGAUUUAUUAAACAGAUGAUUUAAUAUAAACAUACAAGAAAGAUACACGACAGUAAUCUUAAGAGUCGAGCAAAAUUGGAUUUGGAACAUCAAAUUGAAGAAGCUUGAUAUACUGUAACGUUAUAAACUAUUAUGUGGAAUAGAUAAAUUAUUUCUCUGCUAGUGUAAUACAAUGUGCAACUCAUUUGAAGAGUACAUGUGCAAUAAUAGACGUGUAUAUGUCUAUGAUGGACUCCGGGUUCCUCACAUAUAAAUGUCACACGAAUGUUAGAACAUACUCCAGAUUUUGAUUGCUGUAGGCCUGUAGCUGAUAUGAAUAACUGGGGUUUAUAUUAUAAAUUAUUUUUAUCGCCGAUUAAUAUAGGUUCUUUAAGAGGUUUUUUCGAGAUAAAUCAUAUUUUUUAUUUUUAUUACCAAUGAUUAAAUAUUUAAUAAUUGUAAGAAAACAUAUACCAGUAUGUUUUUAUUGCAUGAAAUAAAUUAUGCGAAAACGAAAAUUUUAGCAAAAACAAGAAAAAGGAAUAGUCGGGCCACAUAUUAAUUGCUUUAUGGGCCAAGCCAAGGCCCAAUAGGCUUCAGCAUUAAAAACCCUAACCUGGCUGGAUGGAGCCUGUAUAUAUAUACGUCUCUCUAUGUAUCAGCAGCUUGCGUCGUUGCCGUCAACACUUCCCUUGAGAACCUCCUAAGCUUGUAUGUUGUAUCUAUCUAUUAUAUUCUGUAUCUAUUUCUCAUUCAGCGGCAGCAAGUCAGCUUCUUGACUGGAAUUCGGCUAAGAGCCCACGGUUCAGUCAAUUAUUGUAGAUUCUACAACUUGCGAGAAGAAUAACAGAUUUGUUAGUUAGUAUCACUCGCCUGAAUAUGAUCUGCAUCUGAUUAUUCAGGCCCUUAUUAUACUUUCACACCUUAAAACGCUUUUUUCUUUAUCUGAAUGGUUAAGCAAGUCAGCUUCUUGACUGAAUCUCGAUUCAUAGACUACGGUUCAGUCAAUUAUUGUACUUGUACAGCUUGCGAUAACGAUAUAAUCUAGUCAGUAUCACUCGCCUGAAUAUGAUUUUUUGCUGAUUAUUCAGGCCCUUAUUAUACUGUCACAAAUUCUAUUUUGUGUAAAAUAAUUGAUUUGGAUUGUGUGACUGCAAACUCACUCUGUCCCAUAACAAAUCAUGUUGUGAGGCAAUUUCUUGGUUUGCUAUAUUGAUUUUUAUCAAUCCGAUUUGACUCGUCUAAGUGAUCUUCUCUCGGUGAUCAUGUAAGACACAUAAUUGGAUUACAUUUCAGUGUUUAAUCGUUUAAAUCUCGUUAUGAAAUUGUUUUUAUCAACUUUGUAAAUGUUUUUAAAAAAAAUUCAAUCUCUCUAAUUUCGUUUCGUGAUCAAUUUGAUUGGUAUUCAUGACAUCUGAAGUUGAAAUUGAAACAGUAAUUGUUAUCUGAGAUAUUUGUUUCUAACAAAGAACUGAUAGUUUCGAGAACCAAGCUCACUGGGAUAUUCCGAAAAAACGAUCAAGUGCUUUGUCUAACACUCCAACAAGAGACCUAGGUUGUGCCUUGAGAAAUGAGAAGGGAUAAGACUUAAGAGUCGGAGGAAGUUUGUUCAGGACAAAACAGGAAAGAAAUACUUCCUCCAUCCCCCUGAGUUGCCUGAGUUGUAUACAUUGGGGGACGGGGACGCGGCACAGAUUUUAGUGCUACUGUUUUUUAAAUUUUUUUUUUUUUUUGAAUUGAAGUUUGGAUAUUAUAAUUUUAUAAAAAAAAAAAUCUCAAAAAUAAGUUACGGAAUUAUAUUUUAUAAGAGCAUUGAAAUGCGUCGAGCAGUAAAAAAAACGUAUAGAAUUAAAUGGGACAGAGGGAGUAUAAUUUUAUGCAGUGUUGUAAAAAGCGGGAAUCGGACUUAGUCGGUGAAAGCACCGUCUAGCGAUUAAUCGGAUAAUCGGAGAUUAAUCGGAGUGAUUAAUCGGAUCAUUAAUCGUAAUCAAUUUAAUAUUAUUUUUUAAAUAAUAUAUAUUAAUAUAAUUAUAUAUAGUAUAAAUUUAUAGUCAUAUAAAAUCAAAAGAUUAAUGAUUUUUUAUAAAACAAAACAUGCCUUUAUAUACAUAUACAAGUCCAGUUAUCUCAUAUAUAAACUUGAAUUUGAUUGAAUCUGCGAAGGAAGAUAUUGCAAAUUUAUGUAAUUAGAGUUUAAAGUUAAUAUUGAAAGAGUGAAAGGUAAUAAAACAACUUUAAUUUAUGCAUUUCCGUGCCUUUUGUUUUAUUUAAAAUUAAAUUUUAGAAUUUUAAGAUUUUUUUACUUUUUAUUUUUAAUUUUUUUAAAUUCAUCGAUUUUUGACCGACUUUUUUCCGAUUAAUUCCGACUUUUGACCGAUUAAUCCCGAUUUUCAGAAAAAACGAUUUUUUCACCGAUUAACGCUUAAUCGAGACGGUGGCCGACCGAACAACGAUUAAUCGGCGAUUAAUCGGUGAUUAAUCCCGAUUAAUCGCCGACUUUUAGAACACUGAUUUUAUGUGAUUAAACUAAUAAUUUAAAAAGGAAAAAAAAUAAUAAUUUUACUAUAAAAGACUUCAUAAAAAUGUUAAAAGAAUCGAGUGAGGUAUGUUUAGAACAGUUUUUAGUUUAGUUUUACAUCUCCGGAUAGUAAUAGUAGAAGGGUUUUUCUAAUGUGUGUUCAAAGGACACAUAAUAAAAUACUAAAUUUGAUUAGUUUUGUAAAUUUUUAUUGGUGUAAUUGCAUGAUGUUUCAUUCAUAUCUAUGAUUAGAUGAUUAAUAAAAAUGCACCGAAUUCGUAGGAUUAUUACUUGUUGUAUGCCCAUAAGCAUAUCAUAAAAAAAUCGAUAAUAGAAAUGACUUAUGUUUUAAAUAUUUUUUUGAGUAUUUUGGUUUUCAUAUGCGCAAGAAUACAACAAGCACAAAAUUAGAUAAAUUGGUCUUAUUUUAAUUUGAUUUACACUCUUAACAAUGAUGGACCUUUCUAUCUACAACAAUCACACUAAUUAAAAUAUAAAAUAGUUCAAACAAAUUGAAUAUAAUUAUAUAUAACAUCUCAAGCCAAUGGCUAAAUGCAUACCGGAUCUAACAAUCCCAUCACGGGUCGGCUAAAAAAGGCUAGCAAAUUAGUAUACAUUAAUGAUUUGCUUGUGCUUAUAAAAACUCAAAUACUUUGUUGUCUAAUUAAUGUCGGAUGUUACAAACACCCCUCUUAUAGAUUCGACGUCCUCGUCGAAUUCACUAAUACUUUACGAAACGAAACAUGGGCAGUGUCUCUGCACUUCCGGGUCAAUGAGAGCUCUGAUACCAUUUAUAACAUCCAAGUUCACGAUUAGAUACAUACCGAAUCCAACAACUCAUCACAAGUCGGUUCAAAAGUGCUAGCAAAUUGGUAUACAUUAAUUAUUUAUUUGUGCUUAUAAAACCCCAA